CCUACGGGUUGCAGCAGUGGGGAAUAUUGGACAAUGGGCGAAAGCCUGAUCCAGCCAUGCCGCGUGUGUGAAGAAGGCCUUCGGGUUGUAAAGCACUUUCAGUGGGGAAGAAAGCCUUGGGGCUAAUACCCUCGAGGAAGGACAUCACCCACAGAAGAAGCACCGGCUAACUCCGUGCCAGCAGCCGCGGUAAUACGGAGGGUGCGAGCGUUAAUCGGAAUUACUGGGCGUAAAGCGCGCGUAGGCGGUCUGAUAAGCCGGUUGUGAAAGCCCCGGGCUCAACCUGGGAACGGCAUCCGGAACUGUCAGGCUAGAGUGCAGGAGAGGAAGGUAGAAUUCCCGGUGUAGCGGUGAAAUGCGUAGAGAUCGGGAGGAAUACCAGUGGCGAAGGCGGCCUUCUGGACUGACACUGACGCUGAGGUGCGAAAGCGUGGGUAGCAAACAGGAUUAGAUACCCGAGUAGUC
RNAcentral lists this ribosomal RNA (465 nucleotides) under Vreelandella stevensii. Its description in RNAcentral is "partial 16S ribosomal RNA". It matches the Rfam family "Bacterial small subunit ribosomal RNA", at positions 338 to 795 of the family's 1533-position model. Lineage: Bacteria; Pseudomonadati; Pseudomonadota; Gammaproteobacteria; Oceanospirillales; Halomonadaceae. The record is from RNAcentral.